GUGGGGGUGGCAGAUGAAUGCGAUCGACUUAAGCUCGAUGUAUGGGUUAGUAGCCCUCCCCACU
Molecule: transfer RNA, 64 nt
Filed under: Crassadoma gigantea
Lineage: Eukaryota; Metazoa; Mollusca; Bivalvia; Pectinida; Pectinidae
Description: tRNA-Leu
Source: RNAcentral